UAUUAGUCAAUGCUCGCAAGAGUGAACUAGCUAACUGAAAUCAACAAUGUGUCAUUGUUGAUAAGGUAAGGGAAAAGAAAUGAUACUACCUUACUAUUAGUGUCGUCCAAAUACUCGUGCCAGAAGACUCGGUAAGGCGAGAGACGCAAACGUUAGUCGUCUUAAUCAGGCGUAAAGGGUUUGUAGGCGGCUUUAAGAAUUUAUUCUUUUCUUAUUUUAAAAUAUUGUUAAAGAAAAAUCAAUUAAAGCUAGAAUCAAGAAGAGGUUAUUUAAAUAAUGCUUGAUAUAGGGUUGAUAUCUAUAGAAUUCAAGUGGAAUACUAACGGCGAAGGCUUUUUUCCAAUAAUGAUUGACGCUGAGAAACUAAGGUGAGGAUAGAAAAAAGGAUUAGAGACCCUCGUAUCCCUCACUGUCAACGAUGAAUGGUAGUUACUAGAAAAAAUUAAUCUAGAGACGAUGUUAACACGUAAACCAUUCCGCCUUGUGAGUACGACUGCAAAGUUGAAAACAAAAAAAUUAGUCGGUUUCGGAGCAAACGAAGUGAAGCAUGUUAUUUAAUUAAUAAAUCCCGCAA
This 574-nucleotide ribosomal RNA is filed under the name Xylodon sambuci. Its description in RNAcentral is "SSU rRNA". It matches the Rfam family "Bacterial small subunit ribosomal RNA", at positions 362 to 965 of the family's 1533-position model. The record is from RNAcentral. Lineage: Eukaryota; Fungi; Basidiomycota; Agaricomycetes; Hymenochaetales; Schizoporaceae.